CACACCACAAUCCAAAGACAAUUUCCUACAAUGUUUUGAGGAGUGGAACCAUCAGCAAGUGACAGAACAGCUUCUUCAGGAGGUCUCUUUGAAGGGGCUGACACUUGUUGAAUAUCCUGAGGUGCUUAUUUUGAAAAACCACCUCUGCUGCAUGAUCAUCACAUUUUCCCUUCUCUUUCUCAACCCUGGAAGGCUCUAAACGUUUUCCUUCACCAGCCUUCAUCGGUCCUCCUCCUCCAUCCCUGCCAUCCCCUGGCCCAACUGUCCUCAGCCCAACUCUCUUCCCUGCCUGCAAUUAGGCAAAUGCCCAAGUUGCUGAAUCUUCAAAAUCUGUCUUUGAUUGAAAGGUAGGCAGUGAUGGGGGACUCUAAUGGAUCCUGGAAAACUGUCUCAGCAGUUCUUACUCCCAAAAGGCCCUUCUCUGGUUUUUAGGGCAAGGUGUCUGUCUUAACCAAACAUUUCAGAAGGUCCCAGAGACUCAUUCCCGCUAGGCAUGGCACCAGAACCCUUCCUGCCUUGGUGGGGGUGGGAGGCUGGAGACCUGCUCUCCAGAGGCCCAUGUUGCCAGGUGUUGUCAACCACCUACACUUCAAACAUUGGACAGACACUACAGACAGCCUUCUUUUAACACCACCCUCCAUCUUUUCCCAACUUUAUAGUUUUUAAAUUACUCUUUCAUGAGUUGUUGGACUCUUCUCCACUGUUUUACAGAUGAGGAAACUGAGCCUCAGAGAAGUAAAGUGAAACAUCCAAAUUGAAAACGUUAGCAAGUUAAAGGUCACUGUCAGAUCUCUUGAUUCCCCAUCUCAUUUUUUUGUUUUUAAUUUUUUAGGUCACGCCAUGUGGCAUGAGGGAUCUUAGUUCCCCUACCAGGGAUCAAACCCGUGCCCCCUGCAUUGGAAGCACAGAAUCGUAACCACUGGACCACCUGGGAAGUCCCUCAUGCUUUUUUCAAUGCAACAGAAAUUGCUCACACCUGGCGUAACUCCUCAUUCAAAUAGUUAUUUCCCUUAAGAGCCAAGGGUCUCUUUCUCAGAGACCCUCAGAAACUCAGACAUAAUGCUCAUCCAUCAAUAAACGCAACCUGCCCACAUCCAAGCACACAGACCUACAGACCCAGUUCUAAGGCUAUGCCCUCUGCCCCAAGGUGUCUCUCUCAUAGAAUCCCCUCCCCACUGGCUGCUUAGAGUCAGCGAAGGAGGUGUGUCUUUAGACAGAGGAGCAGAAUCUGUCUCUGACUCCUCCAAGAAGGGGUCCUGGAAGAAGCCCCUUCCUCAGCGUUUGUUCUAGAAGUCCCACCCCCGCCCCUCCCCUACCUGCCAAGAGCUGCAUCCAGGCGCAGAUCUUGUAGACCGUGGCCGUGUUGCAGAAGAAGAAAAGAGCAAAGCAGGUGAUGCAGCCGAGGAUCAGCACCAUGGAGAGCAGCACGAAGAAGGCGGCCGCCUUGAAGGCGCCGGACGGGAUAGUGCUGAAGUCGGUGAACGAGCCGCGGCAGAUGGAGAACAGAGGCCAAAGAGAGGGAUUGACUUGUACAAAGAGAGAAAAACAUCCUUCCUUCCUACAAAUGUUAUGAGGAUCAAGAGAGAGAAUGCACGGAAAAGAGCUUUGUAAACUGAAAAUGGCUUUAUAAAUAAAGGAAGUCUGAGAACUCGCCACAGGAAGAACAGAACAGAACAGUUGUGAGCUCAAGUUGGGAACUUUAGACCAUAAGGCAAAGAUGAUCCUGGACCUGGAUGAGAGAAGCCCCCAGGGCACUUCCAGCCAACAUCCUAGCAGAGAAAGUACACGGGCCUCUCACCGCCACGGCCCCUCCUGCUGCAGAGCACAGGCUUCAGACGCGCAGGACCAGCGGCCAUGGCCCACGGGCCCAGCCACUCUGCGGCAUGCGGGAUCCUCCCAGACCGGGGCACGAACCCGCGUCCCCUGCACCGGCAGGUGGACUCCCAACCACUGCGCCACCAGGGAAGCCCAUUUAAUGAAAAUUUUUGUUCAUUGAGCUCAAAUAAAAUCAGACAUGGAGCCUACUGUUGAUUGAACCAAACCAGCACUGUCUUAUCAGCUACAAGAGGGCUUUUUCAUUUUUCCUAUUUGCUUGACAGUUCAAUGAAGUUAUUAAAAUAAAACCUAAAUUUUCUUUA
Long non-coding RNA from Lagenorhynchus albirostris (white-beaked dolphin), 2138 nucleotides. RefSeq lists it as uncharacterized. NCBI's taxonomy places the organism in Eukaryota, Metazoa, Chordata, Mammalia, Artiodactyla, Delphinidae. The transcript has 5 exons. The record is from RefSeq and is a predicted model, not a curated record.